AGAGUUUGAUCCUGGCUCAGAGCGAACGCUGGCGGCAGGCUUAACACAUGCAAGUCGAGCGGGCCCUUCGGGGUCAGCGGCGGACGGGUGAGUAACGCGUGGGAACGUGCCUUCUGGUCUGGAAUAACCCUGGGAAACUAGGGCUAAUACCGGAUACGCCCUUUUGGGGAAAGGUUUACUGCCGGAAGAUCGGCCCGCGUCUGAUUAGCUAGUUGGUGGGGUAACGGCCUACCAAGGCGACGAUCAGUAGCUGGUCUGAGAGGAUGAUCAGCCACACUGGGACUGAGACACGGCCCAGACUCCUACGGGAGGCAGCAGUGGGGAAUAUUGGACAAUGGGCGCAAGCCUGAUCCAGCCAUGCCGCGUGAGUGAUGAAGGCCUUAGGGUUGUAAAGCUCUUUUAUCCGGGACGAUAAUGACGGUACCGGAGGAAUAAGCCCCGGCUAACUUCGUGCCAGCAGCCGCGGUAAUACGAAGGGGGCUAGCGUUGCUCGGAAUCACUGGGCGUAAAGGGCGCGUAGGCGGCGUUUUAAGUCGGGGGUGAAAGCCUGUGGCUCAACCACAGAAUGGCCUUCGAUACUGGGACGCUUGAGUAUGGUAGAGGUUGGUGGAACUGCGAGUGUAGAGGUGAAAUUCGUAGAUAUUCGCAAGAACACCGGUGGCGAAGGCGGCCAACUGGACCAUUACUGACGCUGAGGCGCGAAAGCGUGGGGAGCAAACAGGAUUAGAUACCCCGGUAGUCC
RNAcentral lists this ribosomal RNA (742 nucleotides) under uncultured bacterium. RNAcentral describes it as "bacterial SSU rRNA". It matches the Rfam family "Bacterial small subunit ribosomal RNA", at positions 8 to 796 of the family's 1533-position model. The record is from RNAcentral.